GCCAGGCAUGGUGGGGCAUGCCUGUAGUCCCAGCCACUUAGGAGGCUGAGGUGGGAGGAUUGCUUGAGCCUAGGAGGUUGAGACUGUAGUGAGCUAUGAUGGCACCAUUGCAUUCCAGCCUGGGUGACAGAGCAAGACCCUGUCUCUU
This is an unclassified non-coding RNA of Macaca fascicularis (crab-eating macaque), 148 nucleotides long. It matches the Rfam family "Metazoan signal recognition particle RNA". From Rfam's summary of the family: The signal recognition particle (SRP) is a universally conserved ribonucleoprotein. It is involved in the co-translational targeting of proteins to membranes. The record is from Ensembl. Lineage: Eukaryota; Metazoa; Chordata; Mammalia; Primates; Cercopithecidae.